Eucalyptus grandis is the source of this 1841-nucleotide long non-coding RNA. RefSeq lists it as uncharacterized. The transcript has 3 exons. The record is from RefSeq and is a predicted model, not a curated record. Lineage: Eukaryota; Viridiplantae; Streptophyta; Magnoliopsida; Myrtales; Myrtaceae.
UUCUGCCUGCAAUCUUUCGCCGGGAAUUCUCGCUCUUCCAGUGGGGGGGACCUCCUACCUUCCUCUCUUUCGCUCUUCCAUCCUUCGUCUCGCUCUUCAACUGCCUCCGUCGCUGUCCGUACGCUCCUCGCGGUUCGUUCCGGCAGAGCUGGUGGCUGCGGUUUUCGGGCUGCUUGCGGAGCAUUCUCUCUAGCAAUGGAGACCGACGAAGCAGGGGGUCGCCGGGCUGCUUCCGUUUCAGCUUCGAGUUCCGACGAACCGCUUUGGCUUCUCCGGUUCGGCUCCCGUUCGGGCGUUCUUUCUCGACCUCCUAAUGGGCGGCGGCGAUUCGAUUUUUUUUUUUUUUUCCGAUUAGUUUUUGUGAGGUUUCGGCUCGAUUUCUUCCGAUUGGCGGGUGAAGAUGGCGGGAGUGGAAUCCGGAGAAGGAUUUGCCGGCCGGCCAUGGUCACGGAGGACUUCGAAGGCGGUGGUGCUUCGUCGCUUCAAUUGGCAGAGGCUGUGGACGAUCUCCCUUGGUAAUUGCUUCGACUCGAGAAAGUUCCACGUCGACGUCGAUUUUCUCGACCGUUGCGCGCCUGAGCUCAGUCCGUGGCUUCGCUUUGCUGUCGACGACCACGUCAAGGACCUCUCAUUCGAUAUGACUAAAGAGGCCGUGCGAGAUGGCCGGCCAUUUCGCGGUACCGCUGCUCCUUCAUAAAUGCUCUUAGCUGGUGAACCUGCAUAUGAGGCUCCGGAGCUUCUGGUUUAGUAGGAGUAUUGCUUGGAUUAAUCUUAGGUCCCUGUCCAUCUGUGACUCGGAGGUGACCAAUGAGGUGAUGCAUGAGAUGUUGAAGGGCAGCCGGAUGCCGCGGUCUGAAGCAAAACAUCAAGCUUUGUUCGAGAACUUUGAGGGAAAUUGCGGUCCAUAGCUGCUUUUGGUAUGCACUUGAUGAGGUUUUUCCCUUGGAGAUUUCGAGUCCUCUUUUGCUGUCCUGUCAUUGCGUUUGAGAGGGUUCUUUGGCAUGAUGAGGCAGCUGGUAACGGAAGUCUCAUCCUUGAUUGAAGCAGAGUCGAACUUUUUUUAUUUUUAUUUUUAUUUUUAUGAGAGGCGAGGAUUUUGGAAGGCCAACUGAGUGUUUUUUUCGAAAUUGGUUUGAGUUUUACAGAGGGUAUUGCAGCCUAGUUGAGGAGCUGCUUCAGAAGCUGCAGAAUGUGACUAAGCUUUUGAUUGGUAAAUUGUGCCUUCGGGAAGUUCAUUCCAAACUUCAGCACAAGGAAUCUGGUUUACAUCAUUUGCAACUCUGCUUGAUGACAACCGGUGCAAAUACCCAUUGUGCCUUCAGAAUAACUACCAAAAAGACCAAAGAAAGAGCAGCUGGUUUAGGGUCAGUCUUUUUCCUGCUCAGUUUUGCAUAAGCAUGAUUCCAAAGAUCAUGAUAAUUAUUGAUGGAAAGUAGUUGUGUCCUAUUUUCUAAAUACUGAAAAAGCAAUUGUUGACUAGAAUUAGUAUAUAAGAUCUACUAUUUCAACAAUUGAAAGCUUUGGCAUCGCUUAAUUUGUCAUAUAGUCGGGAACCAAAAUAGCUCUCAAAGCACAUACCUGCAGGGCUUUUGUAAUCGUAUUUGGAAGGAAGAGUAAAUUAUCUUAUUCUUUUGCUUUUCAAUUGUUGGAUGUGCUUAGGUUUUAUCACUUGCAGCAGAGGUACUAUGCGUGCUAUUUUCUUUGCCCAGUUGCAAGUCUCUAACUCUGCAUGCACAAGUGGAGAAAUGAGAUUUUCCUAGUAUAGCAAAACUGUACCUUGUAACAAGGAGUUUAGCAUAAAGCUCACCAACUGGGGCUUGGUCGAGUAUUAACAUUCGGCC